UGACCACCCACAGAUGUGGGGAAAGGCCAUACGGACAGCCGGGUCAACUGCCGA
Molecule: small RNA, 54 nt
Organism: Lachnospiraceae bacterium 9_1_43BFAA
Lineage: Bacteria; Bacillati; Bacillota; Clostridia; Lachnospirales; Lachnospiraceae
Rfam family: Streptococcus sRNA SpF59 (ldcC RNA)
Source: Rfam